RNAcentral lists this ribosomal RNA (470 nucleotides) under uncultured bacterium. RNAcentral describes it as "bacterial SSU rRNA". It matches the Rfam family "Bacterial small subunit ribosomal RNA", at positions 28 to 498 of the family's 1533-position model. The record is from RNAcentral.
GACGAACGCUGGCGGCGUGCCUAACACAUGCAAGUCAACUUGACUGAAGGAGCAAUCUGACAGUAGAGUGGCGCAAGGGUGCGUAACGCGUAAGUAACUUGCCCAAGGUAAGGAAUAACGUCGAGAAAUCGGCGCUAAUACCUCAUAAUGCAGCGGAUCCGCAUGGAUAUGUUGUUAAAGGUUUACCGCCUUGGGAUAGGCUUGCGUCUGAUUAGUUAGUUGGUGUGGUAACGGCACACCAAGGCUACGAUCAGUAACUGGUCUGAGAGGAUGAUCAGUCACACUGGAACUGAGACACGGUCCAGACUCCUACGGGAGGCAGCAGUGAGGAAUAUUGGGCAAUGCUCGAAAGAGUGACCCAGCAACGCCGCGUGGAGGAUGAAGGUAUUCUAUAUCGUAAACUCCUGUGAGAGCAGACGAAAGACAGAUUAUUAAUCUGGAUGACUGUAUGCUCAGAGGAAGCCCCGGCU